GAUGAACGCUGGCGGCGUGCCUAAUACAUGCAAGUCGAGCGAACGGACGAGAAGCUUGCUUCUCUGAUGUUAGCGGCGGACGGGUGAGUAACACGUGGAUAACCUACCUAUAAGACUGGGAUAACUUCGGGAAACCGGAGCUAAUACCGGAUGAUAUUUUGAACCGCAUGGUUCAAAAGUGAAAGACGGUCUUGCUGUCACUUAUAGAUGGAUCCGCGCUGCAUUAGCUAGUUGGUAAGGUAACGGCUUACCAAGGCAACGAUGCAUAGCCGACCUGAGAGAGGGAUCGGCCACAUUGGAACUGAGACACGGUCCAUACUACUACGGGAGGGAGCAGUAGGGAAUCGUCCGCAAUGGGCGAAAGCAUGACGGAGCAACGCCGCGUGAGUGAUGAAGGUCUUCGGAUCGUAAAACUCUGUUAUGAGGGAAGAACAGAUGUGUAAGGAACUGUGCACAUCGUGACGGUACCUAAUCAGAAAGCCACGGCUAACUACGUG
Molecule: ribosomal RNA, 497 nt
Filed under: uncultured bacterium
Lineage: Bacteria
Description: partial 16S ribosomal RNA
Rfam family: Bacterial small subunit ribosomal RNA
Source: RNAcentral